Molecule: transfer RNA, 88 nt
Filed under: Chthoniobacterales bacterium
Lineage: Bacteria; Pseudomonadati; Verrucomicrobiota; Spartobacteria; Chthoniobacterales
Also listed under: 1 other name
Description: tRNA-Ser
Rfam family: tRNA
About the family: Transfer RNA (tRNA) molecules are approximately 80 nucleotides in length. Their secondary structure includes four short double-helical elements and three loops (D, anti-codon, and T loops). Further hydrogen bonds mediate the characteristic L-shaped molecular structure. tRNAs have two regions of fundamental functional importance: the anti-codon, which is responsible for specific mRNA codon recognition, and the 3' end, to which the tRNAs corresponding amino acid is attached (by aminoacyl-tRNA synthetases). tRNAs cope with the degeneracy of the genetic code in two manners: having more than one tRNA (with a specific anti-codon) for a particular amino acid; and 'wobble' base-pairing, i.e. permitting non-standard base-pairing at the 3rd anti-codon position.
Source: RNAcentral
GGAGGGGUGGUCGAGUGGUUGAUGGCUCCGGUCUUGAAAACCGGCAGAGCGAAAGCUCUCGUGGGUUCGAAUCCCACCCCCUCCGCCA